UCAGGUGGCGACAGCGAAGAGGUCACACCCGUUCCCAUGCCGAACACGGAAGUUAAGCUCUUCAGCGCCGAUGGUAUUUGGGCGGAAACGCCCUGAGAGCGUAGGACGUCGCCUGGC
Molecule: ribosomal RNA, 117 nt
Filed under: Natribacillus halophilus
Lineage: Bacteria; Bacillati; Bacillota; Bacilli; Caryophanales; Bacillaceae
Source: RNAcentral